This 368-nucleotide unclassified non-coding RNA is filed under the name Crocus sativus. RNAcentral's name for it is "sequence contains 5.8S rRNA gene, ITS2, 28S rRNA gene". The stretch from base 257 to 368 matches the Rfam family "Eukaryotic large subunit ribosomal RNA", at positions 1 to 112 of the family's 3401-position model. Lineage: Eukaryota; Viridiplantae; Streptophyta; Magnoliopsida; Asparagales; Iridaceae. The record is from RNAcentral.
CGCCUGCCUGGGCGUCACGCCUCCCGUCGCUCCCCACAGCCGUGCGGAUGCGGAGAUUGGCCCGCCGUGCUCCGUGCGCGGCGGGUCGAAGUGCCGGCCGUCGUCGGGCCUGGCGCGGCGAAUGGUGGACGAAUACAUCGUUGUUUGUGCCUACUCUCCGUGUCCUUGCCCUCAACAAUGCGACAUGUCGUCGUCGGACCCCUCACCAUGGACCCUUCCGGCUUCCGAAUAAGAAGAAGGAACCGUCCUCGGAACGCGACCCCAGGUCAGGCGGGGCUACCCGCUGAGUUUAAGCAUAUCAAUAAGCGGAGGAGAAGAAACUUACGAGGAUUCCCCUAGUAACGGCGAGCGAACCGGGAACAGCCCAG